This 325-nucleotide long non-coding RNA is filed under the name Mytilus galloprovincialis (Mediterranean mussel). The record is from RNAcentral. Lineage: Eukaryota; Metazoa; Mollusca; Bivalvia; Mytilida; Mytilidae.
GGUUCAUGUAUUUUUUUUUUCUAAGUUUACAAUUAUUGAUUGAUUUUCAAAGUGGAUAAAUUGAAACUUGAUAUGUCAGCAUCAAUGAAUCAUUUUUUUAUGGUGUAUUUCUUUAAAUUUUUUGUUUAUUUUUUUUUUACAUUUUUUCUGUUUUCAUUCUUUUGAACAUGUUAAAUACUAAAAUAACCAAGAUGUUUAGAACUGUAGUAAACAAAAACAAAACAACCCAAAACAUAUUAUUUUUUUCUUCAGUUUUCAUUCUUUUGAACAUAUAGAAAACUAAAAGUAAAAUCACCCAAAUGAUUAGAACUAUAAGCAAAAAAAA